UGGGGAAUAUUGCACAAUGGGGGAAACCCUGAUGCAGCGACGCCGCGUGAACGAAGAAGGUAUUCGUAUCGUAAAGUUCUGUCCUAUGGGAAGAUAAUGACAGUACCAUAGAAGAAAGCUCCGGCUAAAUACGUGCCAGCAGCCGCGGUAAUACGUAUGGAGCGAGCGUUGUCCGGAAUUAUUGGGCGUAAAGGGUACGCAGGCGGUUUAAUAAGUCGAAUGUUAAAGAUCGGGGCUCAACCCCGCAAAGCAUUGGAAACUGAUAAACUUGAGUAGUGGAGAGGAAAGUGGAAUUCCUAGUGUAGUGGUGAAAUACGUAGAUAUUAGGAGGAGUACCAGUAGCGAAGGCGACUUUCUGGACACAAACUGACGCUGAGGUACGAAAGCGUGGGGAGCAAACAGG
Molecule: ribosomal RNA, 403 nt
Filed under: bacterium
Lineage: Bacteria
Description: partial 16S ribosomal RNA
Rfam family: Bacterial small subunit ribosomal RNA
Source: RNAcentral